UACAGAGGGGGCAAGCGUUAUUCGGAAUUAUUGGGCGUAAAGGGCGCGUAGGCGGCUUUUCAAGUGACGGGUGAAAUCCCUCGGCUUAACCGAGGAACUGCCUGUCAGACUGGAAGGCUUGAGACCGGGAGAGGUGAGUGGAAUUCCCAGUGUAGCGGUGAAAUGCGUAGAUAUCUGGAGGAACACCGGUGGCGAAGGCGGCAUCCUGGACCGGUAUUGACGCUGAGGCGCGAAAGCCAGGGGAGCAAACGGG
RNAcentral lists this ribosomal RNA (253 nucleotides) under uncultured bacterium. RNAcentral's name for it is "partial 16S ribosomal RNA". It matches the Rfam family "Bacterial small subunit ribosomal RNA", at positions 524 to 776 of the family's 1533-position model. The record is from RNAcentral.